AAGAGACAGGACUGUGGGUGAUAAGAUUCAUAGUCGAAAGGGCAACAGCCCAGAUCGUCAGCUAAGGUCCCUAAAGGUAAGUUAAGUGGUAAAGGAUGUGGGAUUGAACAGACAACCAGGAUGUUGGCUUAGAAGCAGCCACUCAUUCAAAGAGUGCGUAAUAGCUCACUGGUCGAGUGAUCCGGCGCCGAAGAUUUCCGGGGCUAAAACUUACUACCGAAGCUACGGCAUCAGUAAUGAUGGGUAGGGGAGCUUCCCAUACGGGUUGAAGCA
RNAcentral lists this ribosomal RNA (273 nucleotides) under Clostridioides difficile. RNAcentral's name for it is "partial 23S ribosomal RNA". It matches the Rfam family "Bacterial large subunit ribosomal RNA", at positions 979 to 1257 of the family's 2925-position model. The record is from RNAcentral. Lineage: Bacteria; Bacillati; Bacillota; Clostridia; Peptostreptococcales; Peptostreptococcaceae.